This 254-nucleotide ribosomal RNA is filed under the name uncultured bacterium. Its description in RNAcentral is "partial 16S ribosomal RNA". It matches the Rfam family "Bacterial small subunit ribosomal RNA", at positions 524 to 776 of the family's 1533-position model. The record is from RNAcentral.
UACGUAGGGUGCAAGCGUUGUCCGGAAUUAUUGGGCGUAAAGAGCUCGUAGGCGGUCUGUCGCGUCGGCGUGUGAAAUCCCGAGGCUCAACCUCGGGUCUGCAGUCGAUACGGGCAAACUAGAGUAUUGCAGGGGAGACUGGAAUUCCUGGUGUAGCGGUGAAAUGCGCAGAUAUCAGGAGGAACACCGGUGGCGAAGGCGGGUCUCUGGGCCGAUACUGACGCUGAGGAGCGAAAGCGUGGGGAGCGAACAGG